UGAUAUAUAUAUAUAUAUAAACCUCCUCAACAACCUUUCAAACCCAUCAAAUCAACUACCAGUCUCACCUACCCUUCCUCCCCAUAACGAGGUACCUAUCCUCCCUUCACAAACGUACAAAAGAAAAUCAAAUGAGAUGAGAGCACUACCUUAUCCAAACCUCUUUCACCAAUUUCCUUUCAGUGGACGGAAGCUUCCCACCACUUUACUCCUCUUACGCUUCCUAUAAAUUCCACACAAAUCAGCUCACUUCUGCAUCAACUAAAUUUCUCCCAUCACCUAAGCUCAAAAUGCAAAAGAAGGCGGCCAAGUUGGGCGUAAGUUUAGAGGAGGAAGAGGAGGAGGAGAAUGGAUUGAAGAGCCGCCAUGACAAGUUUACAGUGGUUAGUGUUUACGUGGUGUUUCAGCGGAAGACAUGCAAGACGCGGCGCCGCCAUGUUAUAGGAAGGUGAGGGUGGGUGCUUGCUUUCACGUGGCAGCAUACCCUCUGCUCAUCUACGCUCUCAUCUCCAUGCACUCAACUUUUGGAAUGUCUAGAUCUUAGUCUCUCUUGCUUUGUGCAAUAUCUAUGUUUGAAGUUCUUAGAAUGAACUCCACGCCUGCUUUUAGAAAUUGAUGUUGCCCUUGUCUUUCAUGUCUACGAUUCUAAUAUUCCCAAAUAUUUUGGGAAAAUUGUUAAAUUGUGAAGGUUUACUUUUUUUUAUAAUCAAUUUUCUAUUUUAGUAGCUCUUUAA
This is a long non-coding RNA of Cryptomeria japonica (Japanese cedar), 734 nucleotides long. RefSeq lists it as uncharacterized. Lineage: Eukaryota; Viridiplantae; Streptophyta; Pinopsida; Cupressales; Cupressaceae. The transcript is spliced from 2 exons. The record is from RefSeq and is a predicted model, not a curated record.